ACUGCAUUUUUUCUUACACAUGUGUUUUUCUUUUUUUGAAAACUUUGCUUUGGUAGGCUUUCUAUAUGGGGCCUGCCAGAGAUUAAACUCAACCAAAUUUUAUUUAAUGUCAACCGAUUAUUUAAUAGUCAAAACUUUCAACAACGGAUCUCUUGGUUCUCGCAUCGAUGAAGAACGCAGCGAAAUGCGAUAAGUAAUAUGAAUUGCAGAUAUUCGUGAAUCAUCGAAUCUUUGAACGCACAUUGCGCCCUUUGGUAUUCCAAAGGGCAUGCCUGUUUGAGCGUCAUUUCUCCCUCAAACCCUCGGGUUUGGUGUUGAGCGAUACGCUGGGUUUGCUUGAAAGAAAGGCGGAGUAUAAACUAAUGGAUAGGUUUUUUCCACUCAUUGGUACAAACUCCAAAACUUCUUCCAAAUUCGACCUCAAAUCAGGUAGGACUACCCGCUGAACUUAAGCAUAUCAAUAAGCGGAGG
This 471-nucleotide ribosomal RNA is filed under the name Lodderomyces parapsilosis. RNAcentral's name for it is "eukaryotic LSU rRNA". The stretch from base 133 to 286 matches the Rfam family "5.8S ribosomal RNA". Lineage: Eukaryota; Fungi; Ascomycota; Pichiomycetes; Serinales; Debaryomycetaceae. The record is from RNAcentral.